RNAcentral lists this transfer-messenger RNA (349 nucleotides) under uncultured Acetatifactor sp. It matches the Rfam family "transfer-messenger RNA". Rfam says of the family: Bacterial tmRNA, also known as 10Sa RNA or SsrA, is named for its dual tRNA and mRNA-like properties. Its role is to liberate the mRNA from a stalled ribosome. To accomplish this part of the tmRNA is used as a reading frame that ends in a translation stop signal. Lineage: Bacteria; Bacillati; Bacillota; Clostridia; Lachnospirales; Lachnospiraceae. The record is from RNAcentral.
GUAAAGGUUUCGACAGGGGUUUUGCAGCUGGAGAAGCGAGCCGCAUGGUAAUGCGUUAAAUGGCCAAAUUAAAUUUAAACGCUAACGAUAAUUUAGCAUACGCUGCCUAAUGGCAGCAGUCCGACCUAGGGCACUCACACUUUAGGAACCGGGCUUCGACGAUGUGAGAAACGACAUCUGCAAAGCUUUGAGCAGAUGGGCGUAUUAUGAAGCUACUGAAACCGCAAGGGUGUCUGCUCCCGUGCGGCGGAGGGAAGGGACCGGUUCUCCGGUCAGAAUAAACAGGCUACGCUCGUAGAAGGACAGGGAAUAGGCUUUUGGACACGGGUUCGACUCCCGUCUAGUCCAC